UUGUCUAGUGAUAGUAUUUGAGUUCUAAGGUUGAAAAAAUUUUCAUUUAAUCCUAAGAGGAACUGAUGUAUCAUAUCAUUCUCCUCUUUUUGUUGGUAGAGUUUCUUACAUCCUAAGCAAAAUUUCUCUUUGAUCUCAUCUACUUGUACCAAUUGGUCCCAAAUGGAUCUAAACUUGUCAUAAAAAUCAGAAGCAUUCAUAG
RNAcentral lists this long non-coding RNA (202 nucleotides) under Zostera marina. Its description in RNAcentral is "long non-coding RNA (ZMAR_LNC002784)". Lineage: Eukaryota; Viridiplantae; Streptophyta; Magnoliopsida; Alismatales; Zosteraceae. The record is from RNAcentral.